Molecule: ribosomal RNA, 301 nt
Filed under: uncultured bacterium
Lineage: Bacteria
Description: partial 16S ribosomal RNA
Rfam family: Bacterial small subunit ribosomal RNA
Source: RNAcentral
CAGCAGCCGCGGUAAAACGAGGGGGGCAAGCGUUGUUCGGAUUUAUUGGGCGUAAAGGGUGCGUAGGCGGUUUGCAAGUUUGGUGUGAAAUCUUCGGGCUCAACUCGAAGUCUGCAUCAAAAACUGCCGGGCUUGAGUAUGGGAGAGGUGAGUGGAAUUUCCGGUGUAGCGGUGAAAUGCGUAGAUAUCGGAAGGAACACCUGUGGCGAAAGCGGCUCACUGGACCAUAACUGACGCUGAGGCACGAAAGCUAGGGGAGCAAACAGGAUUAGAUACCCCGGUAGUCCCUGUCUCUUAUACA